RNAcentral lists this ribosomal RNA (429 nucleotides) under uncultured archaeon. RNAcentral's name for it is "bacterial SSU rRNA". It matches the Rfam family "Archaeal small subunit ribosomal RNA", at positions 474 to 903 of the family's 1478-position model. The record is from RNAcentral.
UACCUGCAGCUCGAGUGGUAACCGCUAUUAUUGGGCCUAAAGCGUCCGUAGCCGGUUUGGUAAAUAUCUGGGUAAAUCGUGAGGCUUAACUUCACGAAUUUCGGAUAGACUGCCAGACUUGGGAUCGGGGGAGGUCAGAGGUACUCCAGGGGUAGCGGUGAAAUGUUGUAAUCCUUGGAGGACCACCGGUAGCGAAGGCGUCUGACUAGAACGAGUCCGACGGUGAGGGACGAAGCCCUGGGGCGCAAACCGGAUUAGAUACCCGGGUAGUCCAGGGUGUAAACGAUGUGGGCUUUGUAUUGGAGGUCCCACGUGGGCGUCCAGUGCAGAAGAGAAGUUGUUAAGCCCAUCGCCUGGGAAGUACGGUCGCAAGGCUGAAACUUAAAGGAAUUGGCGGGGGAGCACAGCAACGGGAGGAGCGUGCGGUUU